RNAcentral lists this ribosomal RNA (241 nucleotides) under uncultured Actinomycetales bacterium. RNAcentral's name for it is "partial 16S ribosomal RNA". It matches the Rfam family "Bacterial small subunit ribosomal RNA", at positions 89 to 334 of the family's 1533-position model. Lineage: Bacteria; Bacillati; Actinomycetota; Actinomycetes; Actinomycetales. The record is from RNAcentral.
ACUCGAGUGGCGAACGGGUGAGUAACACGUGGGUGAUCUGCCCUGCGCUUCGGGAUAAGCUUGGGAAACUGGGUCUAAUACCGGAUAGGAGCCAUCUUUAGUGUGGUGGUUGGAAAGUUUUUCGGUGUAGGAUGAGCUCGCGGCCUAUCAGCUUGUUGGUGGGGUAAUGGCCUACCAAGGCGGCGACGGGUAGCCGGCCUGAGAGGGUGUACGGCCACAUUGGGACUGAGAUACGGCCCAG